This 908-nucleotide long non-coding RNA is filed under the name Homo sapiens (human). Its description in RNAcentral is "HSALNT0336179". Lineage: Eukaryota; Metazoa; Chordata; Mammalia; Primates; Hominidae. The record is from RNAcentral.
AGCCUCACCCAGCCCACAGGAAGUAAAAGUGGGGGCAGAGGAGGGCCCUUGGAUGAAGGUCGAGCUCUGUUCUGGGAAUAGUGGGAAUAUCCUUGAGGCAUUCAUCUCCCAUAGACAGUGAAACUCUCCUUGCCUAUGGAAGGAUAUGACAAACGUGAAGAUUUUGCUUUUAAAUGCUGAAGUUUCCAUUUAAUUUUUGCAUCACAUCUUUAGCACUAUUGGACAUCCUAGAAACCUCAUUCACAAGAUUUCAAGUUUGAAGUGAUAGUGUUUGCUACCAGAGCCCCUUUUCUGUCAAAGAAAUUAGAAGCAGGAAGGUUGAUGCAUUCCCCCACAGAAAGAAAAGAGGUCUUUUAGAAUAAUGUGAAACUCACACUCUGCAUGGGGACAGAGCCACUUCCACUUGCUCCAGGCCACAGAGUUCUCUCUCCCGUGACAGUUUCCUUCCUGUGCAAUAGUAUCGCCUCUGGAACUUCCUCACCUGCCACCUGGUGCUGCUACAUGUCCACGUAUUUGGGCUCACAUAUUUUCCCACCGAUAGACAAGAGAUUACCAGAAAAGGGGUGAGGAAUCCAGAGAGAAUGUCUGCAUAAGAAGGAGGGUGGAGAUUUCUUACUGAACUAAAGGCUUCAAGAAUUGGCAAAUACCUGCUCACCCUUUUGAGAUGUUUUUCCAGACUUUUGUAUUUCUGAUGACUGGAUGACUCCACCUGGACCCGAGACUCAUGACUCACCCAGUCCUGUGGCCCCACCCAGAAGUGGACUCAGAGCAAGAGGACCAUUUUCCACACCCCAAUGAGUGCAUCCCCAACCAAUCAGCAGCACCUGUUCCCUAGCCCCCUGACCACCAAACUCUCCUUGAGAAACCGUAGCCUCCAAAUUUUCUGGGAGGCUGAUUUGAGUAAUAAU